This is a long non-coding RNA of Dreissena polymorpha, 851 nucleotides long. RefSeq lists it as uncharacterized. The transcript has 2 exons. The record is from RefSeq and is a predicted model, not a curated record. Lineage: Eukaryota; Metazoa; Mollusca; Bivalvia; Myida; Dreissenidae.
GGCGGGCGGCGUGCUCGAAAAUGUUAAAGUUCUUAUUUCAUGGUAUAACUUUGGUAUGCUUGGACCUAGAGUCUUCAAACUUGACAUGAAGGUUGGCCAGGAUUAACAGAUGACCACUGGUCAUUUCAAGGUCAUUCAUUUGAAGGUCAAGGUCACUGUGACCUUCAAUAUAAAAAAUGUUAAAGUUGUUAUAACUUUGGUAUGCUUGGACCUAGAGUCUUGAAACUUGACAUGAAGGUUGGCCAUAACUAGUUAGUAACCACUGGUCAUUUCAAGGUCAUUCAUUUGAAGGUCAAGGUCACUGUGACCUUGAAUGUAAAAAUGUUAAAGUUCUUAUUUCAUGGUAUAACUUUGGUAUGCUUGGACCUAGAGUCUUCAAACUUGACAUGAAGGUUGGCCAGGAUUAACAGAUGACCACUGGUCAUUUCAAGGUCAUUCAUUUGAAGGUCAAGGUCACUGUGACCUUGAAUGUAAAAAUGUUAAAGUUGUUAUAACUUUGGUAUGCUUGGACCUAGAGUCUUGAAACUUGACAUGAAGGUUGGCCAGAACUAGUAAGUAACCACUGGACAUUUCAAGGUCAUUCAUUUGAAGGUCAAGGUCACUGUGACCUUGAAUGUAAAACUGUUAAAGUUCUUAUUUCAUGUUAUAACUUUGGUAUGCUUGUACCUAGAGUCUUCAAACUUGAAAUAAAGAUUGGCCAGUACUAGAAGAUGACCACUGGUCAUUUCAAUGUCAUUCAUAAAUAGUAUUAUUUCAUCUAAGUUUAUUUUCUUACAUUUGAUAAUGAAAUUGAUGGAAACUUCAAACAAUAUGUUACUAAUUUGCUAAUAAAAAAAUUGAGAUCAAACUUU